Small nucleolar RNA from Cannabis sativa, 107 nucleotides. The record is from RefSeq and is a predicted model, not a curated record. Lineage: Eukaryota; Viridiplantae; Streptophyta; Magnoliopsida; Rosales; Cannabaceae.
AUAUCAUGGUGUGGAAACUUUCUCAAUAACUCCUUGAAUCUUUCCAAUGUUUCAUAAAUAGAUUCAUCUUUCAACUAUUGAAAGGAAAUAAUCUCACUAGGAAACUU